GGAGAGGUACCGAAGUGGUCGUAACGGGGGCGCCUCGAAAGCGUCUUGUCGGGUAACCGGCACGGGGGUUCGAAUCCCUCCCUCUCCGCCA
RNAcentral lists this transfer RNA (91 nucleotides) under Acidobacteria bacterium RIFCSPLOWO2_02_FULL_67_36. RNAcentral's name for it is "tRNA-Ser". It matches the Rfam family "tRNA". From Rfam's summary of the family: Transfer RNA (tRNA) molecules are approximately 80 nucleotides in length. Their secondary structure includes four short double-helical elements and three loops (D, anti-codon, and T loops). Further hydrogen bonds mediate the characteristic L-shaped molecular structure. tRNAs have two regions of fundamental functional importance: the anti-codon, which is responsible for specific mRNA codon recognition, and the 3' end, to which the tRNAs corresponding amino acid is attached (by aminoacyl-tRNA synthetases). tRNAs cope with the degeneracy of the genetic code in two manners: having more than one tRNA (with a specific anti-codon) for a particular amino acid; and 'wobble' base-pairing, i.e. permitting non-standard base-pairing at the 3rd anti-codon position. The record is from RNAcentral. RNAcentral also lists the same sequence under 5 other names. Lineage: Bacteria; Pseudomonadati; Acidobacteriota.